CCCAAGUCCCAACGACUCAAAUGGUUCAACUUCGAUUGAAGCUCAACCGAGAAAGAAGACGGCGUCGCCGUCCUCAGUGACCUUAAUGAACCACACGAUUUCCCGGCGAGUCAGUAUCAGUCCAAUGGUUCUACUUAUGCUCAUUCACCAUAUGAAGAUUGCACUUAUGAAGAGACUCCUACAAAUGAAGUUUACACUUACGAAGAGACACCACGUACACCUAGCAGCAGGAAAGCACAAAGACAAGCCAACUUCACAAUCGAAGAAGACAAACUUCUUGUAUCUGCAUGGCUCAAUAUUGGUUUAGACCAGGUGAAAAGAGCCAUUAGAAAUAGCCGUUGUAAACUAGCUGUUAUAAAAUAGCUGUUGUAAACUAGCCGUUAGAAAUAGCCGUUGUAAACUAGCCAUUAUUUUAGAUUUGUUUUAAAUGUAGAAUAUUUUAUUGUUGUAAUAAAUGCAGAAAUCUGUAAAAUAAGGAAGCUGUUGGAGUUGGAGCAGAAAAAUUAUGGAGAUUUUGAUUUUUGUUUCCCUAUAAUACAGAAAUUAUAAGGAAGCUGUUGGAGUUGCU
Molecule: long non-coding RNA, 568 nt
Organism: Rosa rugosa (rugosa rose)
Lineage: Eukaryota; Viridiplantae; Streptophyta; Magnoliopsida; Rosales; Rosaceae
Exons: 2
Source: RefSeq, a predicted model, not a curated record